CCUACGGGAGGCUGCAGUGGGGAAUAUUGGACAAUGGGGGGAACCCUGAUCCAGCGACGCCGCGUGAGUGAAGAAGUAUUUCGGUAUGUACAGCUCUAUCAGCAGGGAAGAAAGAAAUGACGGUACCUGACUAAGAAGCCCCGGCUAACUACGUGCCAGCAGCCGCGGUAAGACGUAGGGGGCACGCGUUAUCCGGAUUUACUGGGUGUAAAGGGAGCGUAGACGGCGAUGCAAGUCUGAAGUGAAAGGCGGGGGCCCAACCCCCGGACUGCUUUGGAAACUGUAUGGCUGGAGUGCAGGAGCGGUAAGUGGAAUUCCUAGUGUAGCGGUGAAAUGCGUAGAUAUUAGGAGGAACACCAGUGGCGAAGGCGGCUUACUGGACUGUAACUGACGUUGAGGCUCGAAAGCGUGGGGAGCAAACAGGAUUAGAUACCCGGGUAGUC
RNAcentral lists this ribosomal RNA (443 nucleotides) under uncultured bacterium. Its description in RNAcentral is "partial 16S ribosomal RNA". It matches the Rfam family "Bacterial small subunit ribosomal RNA", at positions 338 to 795 of the family's 1533-position model. The record is from RNAcentral.